Long non-coding RNA from Cryptotermes secundus, 499 nucleotides. RefSeq lists it as uncharacterized. The record is from RefSeq and is a predicted model, not a curated record. The transcript has 2 exons. NCBI's taxonomy places the organism in Eukaryota, Metazoa, Arthropoda, Insecta, Blattodea, Kalotermitidae.
CACUGCUGACAAUGCUUCGACUUAAAAUAUUAAUAGCGAAGGUAGAUUGUGACGUACAGUAAGCGUAAGGUCUGCCAAUAUAGCUGUUAACAUUUACCUUAAUAUAAAGAUAGAUUUAAAGAUGCAAGUUGAAUUAAAAAAAUGGAGCUAUAUCUCCACAUUCCCAUUCGUCAUGGUAUGGCUUUCAGUUAAGCAUGGGUACUUUACUGUAGUUUUACAUGCAAUGAAUUAGGCAUGUACCAAUUUCAAGAGAAUAUUUCUAUGUGUAGAUUGAAUGUUUCCCUAUCAGUCUUCUCAUCAUAUCUGCAAUGUUUACAUGAAUUAAACAUGGUGAAAUUGACAUUUGUUGAGGGCGCAGUGGCUAUAAGAACGUUUCCCAAAGAAUAAAUGUUACAUACAAUGCAUACAGUUUAGUUUUAACCUGAAUUCUACAUGUAAAUGACUUGCCAAAGAAACCAAAUUUGGGAUGUGAGGCUGUGUAAAUGGGUAUCAGCAUUUU